RNAcentral lists this ribosomal RNA (2497 nucleotides) under metagenome. RNAcentral describes it as "bacterial LSU rRNA". It matches the Rfam family "Bacterial large subunit ribosomal RNA". The record is from RNAcentral.
AGGAUAACAAAAGAAAAUUUGCUUGUUAUCUCCCCUAAGGAAAAAUCCGUAACAUUUAAAUACUCAGUGAAAUGAAACAUCUUAGUAGCUGAAGGAAAAGAAAUCAAUCGAGAUAAGGAUAGUAGCGGUGAGCGAACUCCUUGUAGUCUAAAGUAUUGUGUUAAGUAGAUCUCACUUAAUAAUACUAUAAAAGGUAACCAAGUCCUGUACCGAGAUUUGAUACUUAUCAAUACUAAAGAGUAGAAUCAAUUUGGUUUGAACUCUAGGGAAAGCCAUUUUCCAAGACUAAAUACAUAUUUACACCGAUAGUGAAAUAGUACCGCGAGGGAAAAUUGAAAAAUCUGUAUACAGAUUGAAAUAGUUCUGAAAUCGGUUAUUUAAAGCCCGUCUUAAUCGACGAUACCUUUUGUAUAAUGGAAUUACAAGUGAUUAUAUCAUGCACGGUUAGCACCUUAGUGAAAACGAGUUUUAAUAGAGCGUCAAAGUAUGAUGUAAUCGGACCCGAAACGGGAUGAUCUAGUUAUGUCCAAGCUGAAUCUAUAUUAGUAUAUAGUGGAGGGCUGAACCAUUGAUUGUUGCAAUAAUCUUGGAUGAGAUGUGACUAGGAGUGAAAGGCUUAUCGAAUUCCGCAUAGCUGGUUAUCUCCGAAAUAUAUUUAGGUAUAGCGUUUAAGAAUUAGUUUAUUGGCGGUAAAGCACUGAUAGUGUACUUGGCUUCUCCAUGAGUUGUACUUUACACUUUCAAACUCAGAAUUCCAAUAAAUGAUAUUAAGCAGUCAGAGUUAUUGCGAUAAGGUAAUAGUUCGAGAAGGAAACAACCUUGAUCUAAAGUUAAAGUCAUUAAAAUAAAUUUAGUGUGAAAGGCUUGUUGUAAAUUAAUACAGUCAAGAAGUAGGCUUAGAAACAGCCACUUUUAAAGAUAACGUAACAGUUCACUGACUUAAGGUUCACGACAACCGAAAAUUUAGGUGGCUAAAAUUUAUUCACUGAAACUUAGAAGGUAGAUAUUUUUAUCUGGUAGGAGAUUGUUUUGUAUAUUAGUAUGGAUCUUGUAAAAGAUCAAAUGAUAAUCAAAAGUAAUAAUGUAAUUAUGAGUAACUAAAAAAUCUUUUAAUAAAAAGAUUCACCGAAAGGACAAGGUUUUAUGGGUAUAUGAUGAACAUUCCAUUUCCGAUUCAGUCCCUAAGAGUGAUGUGAAAACGUAGCUCGAUGGGUAGCCCUUUUCUGACAUUUAUGCAGACAUAAAUCGAGAAAGAAGAUAGGGCAUUUAACUGUACUAAAACUGACACAAGUGUCCAGGAAGAGAAUUCUAAGGUGAUGAGAGAAAUAACUGUAAGGAACUCGGCAAAAUGUUUCCGUACGUUCGCAAUAAGGAAAUCUAAAAUAUAAUUUAGAAUCAUAGAAUCGUGAGCUGGGACUGUUUACUAAAAACACAGCUUUAAGCUAAAACAUGCGUUUUUGUAUUUGAAGUGACUCCUGCCCAAUGGUUGUAACCGAAAGUGUUUAAUAAAUGUAUAAGGUCAACUUAAUGGCGGCCCUAACUCUGAGGGUCCUAAGGUAGCGCAAUCAAUAUCCAAUUAAUUGUUGGAAAGUAUGAAAGGAGUAACCAUGGCUCAACUGUNNCNCAAGNUNAGCNNNGUGAAAUUGGAAUUAUAGUGAAGAUACUAUAUAGGUGCUGUAGGACACGAAGACCCUUGCAGCUUUACUGUUAUGAUACAUUGUUUACUUGUUAUUUUUGUGCAGCUAUAGCUAGUAGUUAUUGAUUCUAUACCGCCAGGUAUUUGAUGAAACGUAAGAUGAGAUACUAGCCUGAAAUAAACAGGUAUAACUUAUGCAUUUAUGCAGACAGUGUAUCAGAGACAGUUUUAUUGGGGCGAUAGCCUUUUAAAUUGUAACAAAGGCUUCUAAUAGAUUCCCUCAACUUUAUUAGAAAUAAAGUGCAGAGUGUAAUAGCAUAAGGGAGUUUGACUGCGAGAGAGACAUUUCGAGCAGGGUCGAAAGACGAGUAUAGUGACCCGCAUGUCAUUCAUGGUUUUGCAUGCGAUCAUAGGUUAAGUUACGCAAGGGAUAACAGUGUAAUACCCGGCUAGAGUUCCUAUCGAACUGGGUGUUUGCCACCUCGAUGUUGAAUUGGCGUAUCCUGUUGGUGCAGCCGCUAACAAGGGUAGGACUGUUCGUCCUUUAAAACGCUACAUGAUUUGAGUUUAAAGCGUCGUGAGACAGCUUGGAUUCUAUCCACAGUACCAUGUUAAACGAAUAAGGAAAGCUUCUUUGUACGCAAGGACUUGAAGCUUGGUACCCCUGGUGUAUGAGUUGUGGUGUAUCCGCAUCGCUCAGUAGCUACGUACUUCUUUUUAAAGGCUGGAAGCAGCUCAAGCCUGAAAUUAACCUUAGAUUUGUUUUUUUUAAGAGUAAGACUAACUCUAAUUAUAGGCAACAUGUGAAAGCAGAGCAAUUUGUUGAGCUUAGUUGUACUAAAAAUAUUAAGUGUAUAAUUA